AAAAAAUCAAAUUUAAAAAUUAGUUAUAUAUAAUUUAUUAUACAAAAAUUUAUAUACAAAUAAAAAUGAUAAAUGUAACAAAUUUAAAUAUAUUAUCCGCGCGUAGCGCGGAGAAAGGAUCUAGUAGAUAUAAUUUAAUAUACUGCUUGGAUUGAAAACUAUAUAUGGAUCUAAAUAUCCUUCUAUCUAGAAAAAUAAAAUAAAAUAAAAUAUGAAACUAAUUAACUUCAAUAAUUUUAAAUUUGACAUUGCAUUACAAAGUAACACAGUUCUCGAUUUUAGUCCAUGUAAAUUCUACUAAAUUUCCAUUUUAGUAUUAUUUUGAAGGGAUAUUUACAUGCAGUCUUUAUACAUGUAAUCCUCGUUAUAUAUAAUCUAAUGUGUUUUUUGAUAAAUAUUUUACGUGUAGUGAGAGGAUAAAAGGGAGUCGUUAUCACCAUCAUAUGGAUAAGUCUUCGCAACAAACUAAAAGAGAACACAUAAGUGACUUGCCAUCAAAAGGUUGUUUAAUUUUUUCACUCUCAUCUUCAGUGUAUUAAUAACUUGUUACGUCCCCACUCUUUCUAAAGUUUCCUUUAAUCCGAUUUCUAAACUCGAAUAACAUAAAAUUAAGUAUAAAGAUUCACUUAAAAUGACUUUAAAUUUUGAUCGGUAUAACAACAUUAGCUUACUAAUUAAAAACUCGUUUUCUUUGGUUUGUUAAAAGAAAAAUAAACGUAGAGGGAAUUAUAUUAUUUCAUUCGAAGAAAACAUAGAAACAACUGAUUUUCUUGUGUAACAAAAUAGAAGAAAAGCACAUCGAUUUGCUUAACAUCUAAAGCUAGCGGUAGGUAUAUGCUUAAUAUACUGUGAUUGUCUCUACUAUCAUUUUUGUUUUGUAGUGUUUUGGAACAAAUUCAAGUAUAUUUUUCUGAUAGACUGUACCUAAUUGAUAUUUGAUACCAUAAAGCCAAAUGCCUUUAUAUUCAAGAUUUUUCUUCGAAAUACGUUUUAUUUUAUAUACGUUUCAAGAUGAUGUAUUUUUAGCUAAAACUUCAACAUAAUGUACUUAAAGCAAUUACGUGCGAAGUAAGGAUUGAAUAAAUUUAACCUUUCUUAAUCAUGCAAUAAAAAAUGCUUAUUGCCCAUGCUAUAUACAUUAGUAUAACAACACCUAGAUAAUUACUCCCUAUGUUUCUUAAAAAGUAUCAUUUUAACAUUUUUUUCUUGUUAUACAAAGAAUGUCAUUUUAGAAUUCUAAUGAUAAAUAUAUUUUUUCCACUUUAAUAUUAGAUGCAAAUUGCAUUGAUCUUAUAAAUAAUUUUAUUUAUCUCAAAUUUUAUUUGUUAAAUAAAUGUAACUAAUAAAAACAUAAAUGCAUUUCAAUUAUUUUUUUAAUAUAUGUAAAAAAAAUGUCAAAGUAACAAUUUAAAAAAAAAAGGUGAGGGAGUAAGAAACAUUUUGGGAAACAUUAUAUAAGAAUUAACCAAGUAGUCUUGGAUUAGUGGUAAAUGGGUUUCAACUGGAGCUUCCGCUCUGGGUUCGAUUCCUCUUGGCCACCCAUAAACGCCUUAAGUGGCAAGAAAACUCGGAUUUUUGUUGGUCUAUCAGUGAUUAGUCUUUGAGCAUAUAAAUCCUUUGAGAUCACACCAAUGUUAUAAAAAAAAAUUAUAUAAAAUUUUAAUAAUUAUAAAUAUUUUCUUAAACCACUAAAAAUACAUAGUAUGAGUUUUUAUAUAGUUCUUGGGAUUCGAAAUUAUAUUGUAGAAACGAAAGGUUGUUGUGAGCAUUCAAGAUCUGUAGUGGUCAUGUAUUUGUUUACUUCUUGUAUAAUUUCAUUGGUUAACAACUAUCUUUACUUGACUGAAGGUACUAUUAGAGUUUUAACUGAUUGUAGGUUUGGACUCUGUUAACUUUUGGAUCCCUUAACAGAGAGAAAACUUAGAUCAAAAGAAAAAAAAACAGGGAGAAAAACAUGUCUCUCUUAGUAUGUACGUAAAAGAUAACAAUAUAUGGUAAGAGAGCUUUAAUGUUUGAACAAUGUACGUGUUCAAAUAGUAAUAGUUUCUACUACAUUAAUGCACCAAUUUAAACAAAUACAUCAAAUUAAAGUCAAAAUUACUUCAACUCACAUUGGAUUUUAGAGAAAACGAGGAAAAGAUUUACAUAGAGACACUGGUUAUGACUUCAUGUUAAUAAAGUUAUGAAACGUUCGAGCUUCUCACUCUUUAUAACUACAAUAUUUUCCUUCUCACUUGAUUGCCAUACAUCACUAUCGAGUAGACGAACACAUACAGACAAAAUGGGUUUUUCUGAGUGUAUAAAAAGAAUCGUUCUAGAUUUCUUGAUGAGAUCUUCAAUAGUAAACCGUUUUCGACUGUGCUAAUACUUUUUUUUUUGAAUGAACUGUGCUAAUACUUCAUAUGUGCGUUAAUUCUACAGAAAUGAGAAACAAGAUCAUGAAACGUGUCAAAUAAAACGCAAACGGUACGUGGGUUUUAGUAUGCGGAGGAAUAUUCGAUUAGAAAAGAACAAUGAAACCUAAUUCUUGUCUAUUCAUUUGUCUCCCCCUUAUUCUUAAAUGUCUUAUGUUUUUGCACUUGAUUUAUCCUUCACUCUCCCUCCAAAUAACAAAAUUUAUAUGUUCGUUAGCUAGGAAUGCACGUUCUUUUCAUAGAUCUCUAUGUUUUAUUGGUUGUUCUAUUCCGGUCUGGUUAUUUAGACCACCUCAAGUUUGAGUAAUAGAAUAGUCGUUUGUUGUCAAAAAGAAAAAAAAUUCAUAUAUAAGACAGUCGAAAAUACAUAGUUAAAUAGUUUAUUUUUAUGUAUAAUGUAUUCUAAUGAUUUCGUUAGUCGAGGUGAGAGAGUUUUCGGUAACCUUCUUUCCUUCAACUUAAAGCAAAACCUUAGGGUUCUUAAACUCUUAUAUAAAGAAUGUAUGAAAAAUAAUCAAUUGCAUAUAUCCAUCUUCCUUCUUUUAUGAUGAUGAUAAAUGACAUACUUAACUUAGUGGUAGAUUAGAGGCAAAAACAAAAACAAAACAUUCUUCCUUCUCUUUAGCACCAUUUCCAAUUUAUUUUACUUUUUUUUUUCUAUAAUACAGAUGGAGUUUGAUAGAUUCAAGGCGAAAACAAAAAACAUACAUGCUUCAUUUUUUCUAUGACCAUCUUCGACGUACUUUGUUAUUUUUUUCAUAAAUGAAAAAUCUUUAUAAUAACAAUAAAUUUUUCUCUAGUGUAUUCUCCUAUAAUAAUCUUGCCAUAAAUAUAGAGAUUGUUAUUUUUCCUCAAACCUCUCCAACUCAUUUUUAUAUUUUACCUUUAUAAGUAGCAUUUAAAAGCAAAAUUGCUUCAUCGCAAUUCUAGUUAUUCCUCUAAAAUAGAGAUUAUUUAUUCCUUUAUUUAUAGAGAAAAAAAUAUUCCUCUAUUUUAUGUUUUAUAUUUAGAUAUUUCUAUUUUAGGGAAAUACAUUAAAGUAAAUUUUAAAUCUAUUAUAGAGGGUCUGAUUGGUAAUGACUGUAGCUUUAAAAUUUUUGCUUUAGAAAAAAAUUUAUAGACUUUUUGAUGUGUUUUUAAAUUUUAUUGCUGUGGAAUUUUACGAAAAGCCCCAAAAAUUAUUGUGGAUAUUUGGCUCUACAGGACACUUGUACAGUUGUAUGUUAUUUCAAGAGUUAUGAAUUAAAGUUUGAUUGUUGUGAAUUUAAUGUUGUAGAAAUAAAUGGGAAUGUGGACUUCACCUACAACCACUACGGCACUACCAUUCAAACCCAUAAUUUUUAUAUUUUAGAGAAAAAUACAUUGGAGAUUUUUAAAUAUAGAAAAGUAAUAUCUUCUAUUUUAUAUGAAGAAAUAAGAAUAUAUUCGAGUGGAAUUACCUCUAAAUACUAUUACAGAAACAAAAACAAUAAAAGAUUAGAAAUACUUAAAAUACUACUAGAGAGACAAAAACUGUUUGAAAAUGAAAAUAUUUCAAAAUUAAAUAUGAAACUUGUAACAUAAAAUCAUUUGCAUGAUUAGUAGUAUGUAAAUUUUCAUAUAUUAUAGAAAACAAACUGUUCCAAAAUACUUGUGUAAAAUCAGAUUUUAAUUUCUUUAGCGAGGACUGCAUGGUCUUUCCACAAGGAAAUAUGUUUUAUCGAUUGUUCUAUUCCGGUCUGGUUAUCCAGACAACUUCAAAUUUGAAUAAUAUAAUAACAUUUCGUUGUAAAAAAAAACUUGUGUAAAAUGAAAAUAUUUAUAUGUUGGUACGAUUUAAUAAAUUCUCCGAAGUUUUUGUCAACUGUUGAAUUUUUAUAUAUAAUAAAUUUUAUCAAAGAUUUGUAAAAAAAAAACUAAAAACACAUACAAUAGCAUAUUUUUACAAUUGAUGAAAAAAUACACGUGCAAUAGCAUAUUUUUCUCUAAAAUGUUUGAUAUCUCUGACAAACCCAAUAAUUUUCUACCUAUUUUUGAAAAGCUUGAAUAUUUUGUAAAAUAACGAAGAAUUUGAUAUUUAAAUAUAAAACAAAUAUUAGAACUGCAACCGUAAAAUUUAUUUAUAUAUAUAAAACAAAUAUUUUGACUUGUUUUUGUACUUCAUCGCCCUGCGCCAAUGGAGGGAAAAGGGAGAUAAGGGAAGCACAUGGGUUUGAGCACGUGUCUACGUUCAACAGACUCGCAGGAUAGACCUCCUCUCCCAUUCGCACACGCGUUCUGAUCUUCUGUCCCCGCACUUUCUCCCGACCAAUCAUGUCGUAUUGUUUGCAAUAGCCGCCAUCUUUUUUUCUUAAUUUAAAAUGUUUUUAAGAGAAUUUUUAUGGUUCACAACCAUAAUCACAGUAGUUUUCUUCCUUUUUUAAGAAUUACAUUUUUAUUAUUUUACAUUUAAAGGAUGUAUUUAACUGGGAGUUUGGUGUGGUUUAACUUUUAUUACAUUUUAGACAUUUUUAGAUAAAUUAAAAUUUUAUUAAGAUUUAACUUAAAUUAUCAUAAAAUAUCAUCUAAAAUCAUGAAAUUUAUAUUUUAAAAUAAAUAAUUCCACUAAAUUUUAAAAAUCACUAGUAAAAUUUUAAAAUACAACAACAGUCGUUUCUAAAUAUUUUAUCAAAUAAUAAGUGCAAUAACAUUAGAUUUUAAUUAUAUUUUAAAAACAGUAAAUUUGUCAUUUUAUAUAAGUCACUUCAAACUUCUAAUGAAUACAUCCUCUUUAAAGUAUUGCCUGACUCUUUAAAAAGAGUUGCAGUUCAGCAUGAUUCUUCUUGGAAGCUACGAGUUAUUAAAAUAGCUGGUUUAUGAAAUUGAAUUCAAGAAAAUAAUCGGAAAAGACAUGAAGAUUACAUGAUUCAAAAAUUUAUAUGCGAGAUAACGUGUUCGUUAGUUAUACAUGCAAGAAGAAUGGCGCUACUCAGAAAAUAAACAUUUGAUCCCAUAUACAAAUACUUAUCAACAAAUAACUGUUAAUUUUGAUAUCUAAUUAUAUAAAAAUAUGUUUCUCUCCUUCUUAAGCAUGCCACGUCAUUAAGUCUUGAAAGGAGGAGAUGACACAUGUCCAUUCAUCAAACGGCAGCGUUUCACUAAUACUUUAUCGUGUAUUGCUUGCUUUGAUUUUGUUCUUUAUGGUUGUGAUUAUUAAUGGGCUUAUUGGGCUAAUCUUUUCUGAUUCAGUUUUGUAACCCAGCCUGAUUGGGAAAUACGAUCGAUACUGUAAAAAUGCAUUCUCUCUGAUCCCAACCGUCUUCUUCAAUAUGUGGUGAUCUAAACUAAACCAAAAGAAUGUCGAUUGAGAUGAAACGUUGUAAAAAACUGUGUCAAGCUUCGACAGUGUCCAUUCGUUUUUGGUUCUUACCCUCGAAGACGUUACGAACGAGAUGUCUUAAUUCAUCGGAUUUAAGAAACCUCUUAACUCCAUCAACGCUAAUCAAGCACGAUGCCUCAUUCAAUGCUACUUAUCCCUCUUCUAGGAGUGUUUCUCCACCUAUAAAAAGGUAAGCUUUUUCGUCUCUUGAACAUCAUUCUCACAGUUCAUGAUAAUCCAAAAAUGUUAUUUGCAGUAUAAUGAAUGGCCAACUUAUCUGUUCUUCAACAAUUGAGGUGCGACUAAAUUCCUCUUUGAUGCAAAGGUUUUCCAGUUCUUAAAUCUCAUGAUUAUCGUGUGCUUUUAAAUAUUGGGGCUAAACAUUCAGAAGUAUAAAACUUUUAUAUUCAGAUCUUUGUUGGACCUCUUUUGAAUGAGUUUUUCGGUUUGUUGAUUAUGCUUUUUUUUUAACAUUUGUUUCAGUCGACCCUCAUGCCAGCCACUGUGAAUGUUCAGCCUCUCUCCACUUUCCGACACCGUCCGUGCAAUCAGAACUACAGGCUGACUGAUUCUUCUCGGACGAUUCUGUUCAAUGUUAUUCUCCAAUCCCUGCAGAGCGGUUCAGGUUCCGGGAUCUGAUUCGCUGCUUGGCCUAGCCAACACACACACACACACACAACUUCCAGGUACAUCUCUUAUUAGCUAUUUAUCUCAGACUUAACACAUAUACUUUUCUCAAUGUUUUGUCAGAAAGUUACUUGGCCAGUCUUUCUCUUUGUCCCCGAGAGAUCAGAGCUGCCAUUUCUACAUGCAAUUACACAGGCUGUGAUUUUGCAGCCGCUUGGUGAUAAAUGAAUCAUAGUUAUUGUUGGGAAGACGACUAGAUAUAUGCUUCACGUCUUCAGACUAGGCUUAAAUUUCUUCAAUUUAGAGAAGUUAAAUGCGACACUAUGGAGGUGUUUUAUUGGUUCAGCUUAUAUUUCCCAAGAAACAGAUCGCAGUACCCAGACCGGUUCCAAGCGGUUCAAUGCGUGAUCAUGUGGUUACACAAAGUGGAAAUGUAAAAAUAGCUUCUAGAAUCAUGAACUAAACACUUAUACAUCAGCAUAGAGUUUAAGUUUUUCAAAGAUGUAGAUUUGAUCUAUGCUCGGAUAAUCUUCGACCCACAAUUUUUAAAAAAUUUGUGCUGUGUGAUUAUUAUGAUUUAAACUUAUGGAAUAAGAGAGGGGAGUCUCAUCAUACCUUACUAUUGGCACACAUGUGUUUAUCUCGAUAGGUUUGCAAGUAUUUCGUAGGGAUUUCAAAAUAUGUUCGCAUGUUACUCUCUUUUGGCAAUAUCUAUAUGGGUCACUUGACCAAACAUCUUCUAUUUUUCUUUGAAGGAACUUGAGAAAAGUUCAACAAUGUGUUUUUGCAGAAAAAGAGAGGGGAGAGAGGUACAGAGAGUUCACCUCAUGACGUCUGUUAGAAACUCUGCCACGUCCACAAAAGGACUCCAAGAUAAAAAAAAAUUGUUAAGAGUUAGUAACUUUUUUUGAACUGAUUUAUGCAUUUUUUUUAUCGACUAAUAAUUGCAUUAAUAAUAAAAAGAAAGGGGCUCAGCCCAAACCAUGAGUUAGUAACUUUAUUGGUAGAUUUUUACCACCCUUUCAGUACAUCAAUUUUUUCAUUA
This is a long non-coding RNA of Brassica rapa (field mustard), 7423 nucleotides long. RefSeq lists it as uncharacterized. NCBI's taxonomy places the organism in Eukaryota, Viridiplantae, Streptophyta, Magnoliopsida, Brassicales, Brassicaceae. The record is from RefSeq and is a predicted model, not a curated record.